UGUCCUGAACUUGCUAUGUAGAACCAGCUAGCCUCAAACUCAGAUCCACCUCAUUCUUCACUCUGCCUCCUGAUGUUUUGUUAAACUUCCUUAAUUGGAGUUUCCUGUAGAAAGGGAAUUAGGUGGACAUAGAUAAUCAGAGAUGCGGUGAUGGCGCUGGCCCUGGCCCUGGCCAUUAUGCAAGAAAUCAAUAGGGUCUACCAUCUGUAACCUGAGGGCCUGAUUAGGCCAAGUACUAACCAAGUACUGAUUAGGUUCCAGACUAAGCCUCCAAGCUGAAGAACUGGGAGGGCCAGUAGUUUUCAAAAACCCCAUAACCAGUAGCACCCAUGGGCCAGGGCACAGGAGGUAGAUGUCCAGCUCAGAGAGAGAGAGAGAUCCUUCCUGGACCCUCUUGUUCCUUCCAGGCCUUUGGUGUUGACCAGUGCACUGAGUGAGGAAGUCAUCGUUCUGACUGGUGAUUCUAAUGCUUCUCUCAAAUCCACUCUGUUUUCCCCAUAUCAUAUGACUUCACAAUUUCUUUUACUUGGUCACACAGGACAUAGUUUGACUUGUGUUGAGUAAUGAUGAUGGGCAUGCAGGACAUAUUCCUAUAUCUAGGAUAUAGCAAAGGGGGAGCAGUUUUAAUUAGGUUUCUGCAAUGACCAUGAUUGAUUGUUAGGCAGGAAUAAGGCAUUACUUUCCCUCUGAAACCAGAGGGAAACAGGGUAGCUCCUGCUCCCCUCGUCUAGGUGAUAGGCAAUGGGCCUGGAGGGCCGAUUCCAACGUCUGCACUCAUCCAACAUCUUGCUUUUUUUACUAAGCCUUUUGUCUUGUCUUGUGCAGGUCAGCUUUGUGCCAGUAGGUGGCACUGUACUAGUUUUGGAGACUGUCUUAGAUGUUCAGGGUCAAUCAGCACCCACACGACAGGCAGCCUAGCCUAUCAGUGAAUUAGGCCCAGCCCAUCCAUGUGGAUCUGAAAACAGUCAGAAGGAUGAACAUGGAGCAUCCCUAGAGAGUGAUCAAGACUAUAGAACCCAUAAUGCCGGCCUGUUACUUUCUGGGGGACAAAAGUUGCAGUAUUUGUUCAGGGUGGCCAAAUCUAGCCUCAGUAUUUGUGGCGAAAAACCUCUUGUUGGAGGCCUCUUAAAUUUCCCAAUGUCUCACUGUCAUUGUAACAGGUAAAAGACUGGGUUUUCACUUGGGAGAUUUGUGACACUUGGAACUUGGCUCAUUGCAUUCAAAGUGUAGUCCCUUAGUACUCAGACAUGAGAGGAGGUAAAGAUUGUGCUCUUUGGAGGACCCAUCCUAGUCCAGCAGUAUUUGGAAGUCAGUACCUGAGCCAUGUGGUUCAGGAAUGUCACUUCUGUUGAGGCCUGCCUCAUGGGACAGAGGUAUUCAGAGUGGGGCCAGGUGAAGAUGAAGGAGCCGACAAGGUUCAGGAAGCUCUUGUUUAUUUAUCUUGGUUGGGGGCCCAACAGCAGGAUCAGUUGUCAGCCUCUUGGCUUUACUCUGCAGUCUAGUCCUAGAAUGUGUAGUCAGCUGUGGCCUGGGAGCUUUAAGCUUUCUGGAUUCUAAGGCCUCACGUUUUUUAUACCUAGCAUGCACUAUUAGAAUACACUGAAUUUUAGUGUACUGUAUCAGUGUCUGCUGCCUACUGAGUUCUUGACACACUUCUUUGGGUCUAAACUUAAAUUUACUGCUAAAAUGAAAGUAAAACUGGACAACUGUUUGACUUGUAGCACAUGUUCCUUUCAGAACAGUGACAUUUAUAGAGUGCUGUGCUGUAUCCCAGUGAUGGUAACAAAAUGCCCUGAAGCUUCUUAUAAUCAACUACCGUCAUAACCGCUUCUGAUGUUAUGUGUCAGUAGCAUUUAUGUGUCCAGUGUUGUGCGGUCAUCACUGGUACCAAGUUGCAGGAUGUUUCAUCCAGACAAAAACUUCAACCCACUACUUAGAACUGUCCAGCUUCUUCCUGAAGCCCCUGGCAACCAGGAACCUGUCUUCUGUCUAUAGGUUGCUCAUUUGGGUAUUUCACAACAUAGACUCAUGCACUGGAUGGCCCUUGGUAUGUUGGCUUUAUCCACCCAAGGUUUCUGCAAAACUCAGCUGUGUGAUGUAAUCUCAUUUCUUUUAUGGGUAAAAAACACUCUGUUCUGAGUGUGAGCUACAUGUUACUCUGAUGGUUAACCCGAUAACUCGAUGGGCUUAGAGUCACCAUGAAAACACCCCUGCGUGUUUCCAAGGGUUUCAGAGAGACCCACCAAGAGUGUGGACUGCACCAUUCUAUAUGCUGGGCUCCUAGACUGAAUAAAAAGGAGGGCAAGAGCUGACCACCGGCCAUUGUCUAUGUCCUGCCUGCAGAUGCCAUGUGACCAGCUGCCUUAAGUCCCUGCAAUCAUGACUUCACCACAAGGACUGUACCCACUUAUACUGUGAGCCAAAUAAACCUUCCCUCAGUU
RNAcentral lists this long non-coding RNA (2441 nucleotides) under Rattus norvegicus (Norway rat). RNAcentral describes it as "long non-coding RNA NONRATT004128". Lineage: Eukaryota; Metazoa; Chordata; Mammalia; Rodentia; Muridae. The record is from RNAcentral.